GGUUUAGCUCAGUUGGUAGAGCAUGAGACUCUUAAUCUCAGGGUUGUGGGUUCAAGUCCUGCAUUAGGUU
Podarcis lilfordi (Lilford's wall lizard) is the source of this 70-nucleotide non-coding RNA. NCBI's taxonomy places the organism in Eukaryota, Metazoa, Chordata, Lepidosauria, Squamata, Lacertidae. The record is from the annotation of a GenBank genome assembly.